GACGAACGCUGGCGGCGUGCCUAAUACAUGCAAGUAGAACGCUGAAGAGAGGAGCUUGCUCUUCUUGGAUGAGUUGCGAACGGGUGAGUAACGCGUAGGUAACCUGCCUUGUAGCGUGGGAUAACUAUUGGAAACGAUAGCUAAUACCGCAUAACAAUGGAUGACACAUGUCAUUUAUUUGAAAGGGGCAAUUGCUCCACUACAAGAUGGACCUGCGUUGUAUUAGCUAGUAGGUGAGGUAAUGGCUCAACUAGGCGACGAUACAUAGCCGACCUGAGAGGGUGGUCGGCCACACUGGGAAUGAGACACGGCCCAGAAUCCUACGGGAGGCAGCAGUAGGGAAUCUUCGGCAAUAGGGGCAACCCUGACCGAGCAAAGCCGCGUGAGUGAAGAAGGUUUUCGGAUCGUAAAGAUCUGUUGUAAGUCAAGAACGGGUGUGAGAGUGGAAAGUUCACACUGUGACGGUAGCUUACCAGAAAGGGACGGCUAACUACGUG
This 497-nucleotide ribosomal RNA is filed under the name uncultured bacterium. RNAcentral's name for it is "partial 16S ribosomal RNA". It matches the Rfam family "Bacterial small subunit ribosomal RNA", at positions 28 to 507 of the family's 1533-position model. The record is from RNAcentral.